This 87-nucleotide transfer RNA is filed under the name Acidobacteriota bacterium. RNAcentral describes it as "tRNA-Leu". It matches the Rfam family "tRNA". Rfam says of the family: Transfer RNA (tRNA) molecules are approximately 80 nucleotides in length. Their secondary structure includes four short double-helical elements and three loops (D, anti-codon, and T loops). The record is from RNAcentral. Lineage: Bacteria; Pseudomonadati; Acidobacteriota.
GCGAAUGUGGCGGAACUGGCAGACGCACUGGAUUUAGGUUCCAGCGGCCGCAAGGCCAUGGGAGUUCGACCCUCCCCGUUCGCACCA